Ictalurus punctatus (channel catfish) is the source of this 2796-nucleotide long non-coding RNA. RefSeq lists it as uncharacterized. NCBI's taxonomy places the organism in Eukaryota, Metazoa, Chordata, Actinopteri, Siluriformes, Ictaluridae. The transcript is spliced from 2 exons. The record is from RefSeq and is a predicted model, not a curated record.
UAACCCACGUGCACUGAAGCCUCUUCUGAAAUAGGACUUCGUUUAAGAAGACAAAAAGGCAAGGAUGUGAAUUCUGGCCCCUCACACGGGUAACCGUAUACACGCCUCUUACUUAUCAUUUAAUACUUUAUUUAUUUAUUUAUUUUUAUUAAAGCUGCAAAGCGUCCAUCACGUUUGGUCUCUCCCUUUCCUUAUAUGGUCACGGUUUCCUGUUCCCAUGGAAUUUCACUGUGCUCCUGUUUCUCAAUAAGCCUCAUUAGUACACCUUUAUUGUUCUCACUGCGUGUGUGUGUGUGCGUGUGCGUGUGUGUGUGUGUGUGUGUGUGUGUGUGUGUGUGUGUGUGCGUGUGUGUGUGUGUGUGUGUGUGUGUGUGUGUGUGUGUGCUUCCUAUUCCAUCAAGCCUGAACUCAAAUGUUUAAUCACCCAACCCUCUGCUGUGAUGCUCCAGCACGGCCGGGGGAUUUAUGGGCGUGACUGCGCUGUUAAAACACGUCCGGACUGAUCAUUAAAAUUACCAUCAACUUUUUUUUUUUUGCAGUUUUUGAACAUUUUUGGCUGCAGGUCUCAGGUGUCAUCUGUAAUAACUAUAUACUUGUGCAAUAACAGUUCAUUAAUUUCACGUUAAUGAACUCAAAGCAUUCUCCAUGUUCCGUGACAGAACGCGAGGACGCCGCGUCGAAGCAGCUCUCACACGGGAACAUGGAGUCUUUGGUCAAACCUCCCGAGGUAUUCCGUGACACCUUUCCAGCUGCGUCUGUUUAAAACACAAGACUUCAUCUGACCAGCCCAAUUUCCAUCUCCUGAACGGUAUCACAGGCUGAAUGAAUCAGAUACGCAGGAAACACACUAUGGCUUCCAAACAAGACGGUGUCCAUAUAGAUCAGCCUCCAAACGUGAAGACAUCCAAACCUGACAGCCUGGAAGCAAGAUGGCGUCGAAACGAGACAUUAAUCAAACAUGACGGCCUUCAAAACAGAAUGGUGUCCCAACAAGACGGUGUCAAAUCAAGAAGUCUCUAAACAAGAAAACCUCCAAACACGAUGUUCUCCAAACACGAUGGUCUCAAACCGAUCGUUGUUUUUUUCUGUUAUCACAGAAGCUGUAUUUUGGUGGGAAAUUAAUUGCCUGAAUUUUAAUUGACUUCGUGUCGGACUUUAAAAGGAAACGAAUGCAGCAGUUGUUUGUGUAUGUGACUCUCUAGUUAUUUAUUCCAAUGAUAUUUUAAUAACACCACUAAUUAACAAGCUCACAGCAGUGUUCAACAUUACACACACACACACACACACACACACACACACACACACACACACACACACACGUCUGCUGUGCUACAUGAAGCUGCUGUUACCAUGGCUACAGACUAGGUCAGUCAAACAUACUAUAAUGCUCAAGGUUUCUGCACACACACACACACACACACACACACGCACACACACACACACACCCACGCACACACCAGUGAUGAGCUUCAUUCAUCGUCCAGCAGCUGCAGCUGAGUCAUGGCGUGCUUACAUCACACACACCCACACACUCAUGCAUGCACACGUGUGCACUUACGCACAUGUUCGCACACACACACACACACACACACACACACACACACACACACACACAGGUAUGUAUGAUGGCUUUUAUUAAUAUUAUGAUUAAUUAUUAAUAUUAUAAAUCAUGGCUCAUAUUAAUCUGUAUGAUGGUUUGUGGAUCAUAUGAUGACUCAGUGUGUGUGUGUGUGUGUGUGUGUGUGUGUGUGUGUGUGUGUGUGUGUGUGUCUGGGCAUUUGUCUGGCUCUUAACUCUGCCACGUUACUGAACAGCCUGGAAGCCAUAGCAACCACUUCAGCCAGCGGCUAAUGCUAACACUGUUUACUGCACAUGCUCAGUGGGACUAAAGGCGCUACUACACGCCAGCAUCCCAUUAUACAUCUCACACACUCACACACACUCACACACACUCACACACACUCACACACACUCAAAGGUGUAGUUACUCUUUGCAAAUGACUCAUCAUCUUAAAAGUAUAAGAAACUAAAAUGAAAAGAUAAACACAUAUUUCUAGCACUAAUGUAAAAGUUACAUGUGGAAAUAUUCGUCCUGUGACUCAACAUGCUCCAACACCAUUUCUUAUUUAACACACAGACCAUACCUACGGUAUCCUCCUAGGCUAUAACAUCCUACCUAGUGCACUAGAUGUAGUGGACACCAUUUCAUGUUCACCAUCAUGAACAGAACACAGCACAGUAUUUACCUGAGUAAGAGUAAACCGUCAUUUUUAAUGUAAUUAAAAAGUUCUUUAUCGCAGCCUUUCACAGUGUGUUCAUCACUACACCCCUAACCGUGACCACGAUAUAAACACCCCUAACUCCCAUAACCAUAUGAACACCUGUAACCGGGAUUAGAAAUGCCAAUUACAACUUCCUGAAGAAGCAGAACUGAGGUGUAAGGUAGAGGUCAGAGGUCAUAUGUAGAGACUCACCAGCACGCGUCCGGUGAGUGUCUGUGCGGAGAUCAUGACCCCGGCCCAGUCCUUCACCGAGGUCAUCCAGCCCACCUCGCUGACCACCGUAAUGUCCUUCUUCUCCACACUGCUGACCCGCUGAACAUCCUGCACACACACACACACACACACACACACACACACAAAAGCAGACAAUUACACUGAGAGUACAUUACACAAUUCAAAUUACACACUUUUUUUUUGAGUGCACAACAACCUCCAGGUCAGUGACUAAUCACCGUCCGAUGGCCUGACAUUUCCCAGUGUGUCUGAAUUGACGGGUAAUAAAUCUUGCAGCGUG